Molecule: long non-coding RNA, 1122 nt
Organism: Eriocheir sinensis (Chinese mitten crab)
Lineage: Eukaryota; Metazoa; Arthropoda; Malacostraca; Decapoda; Varunidae
Exons: 2
Source: RefSeq, a predicted model, not a curated record
GUGUAAUGAAUGACUGGCUAACAUAACCUUGUGUCAAACUAAAGAAAAACAUGUGUAAUGAAUGACUGGCUAACAUAACCUUGUGUCAAACUAAAGAAAAACACAUGUAAUGAAUGACUGGCUAACAUAACCUUGUCUCAAACUAAAGAAAAACACAUGUAAUGAAUGACUGGCUAACAUAACCUUGUCUCAAACUAAAGAAAAACAUGUGUAAUGAAUGACUGGCUAACAUAACCUUGUCUCAAACUAAAGAAAAACAUGUGUAAUGAAUGACUGGCUAACAUAACCUUGUGUUGAUUUAAAUGAUAAAUUUCUAGCCUAUUGAAACAAAUACUACAUCAAUCACGUGUUCUCAGGAUGCAAACUAAUUCUGAUCAGUUAGGAAUAGGCUACAACUCAUUUUGACAAUUUAUAAGAGCAGAAAUUUUUCAUUGAUAUUGAAUUUAACCUUUAAUUAGGGCAAAGGGAAAGAUAUAUAGAUACAUAGAAUAUUACUAUGUAGCAUAUAGCAGUUGUAGCUUUUACACAUGCUAAUAAUUUAACAAUCACAGACAAAAUAGUAACCUAUUACUGCUUCAUUAAGAGCCAUUUUCAAACUUAACAACCCUACCUCAUCCUGUUGAACAGUAAACCUAUCUCUAACACAAACACUAGAAUAAUACAUUCAUUUAGGUUAGUAAUACAGUUCUGUUUUUCAAUCUACCUUUUUCAGUGCCUACCCUGCAAGCUUGGGAAUGGGGUAACCUGGUUAGUUUAGGUUUGAUUCUUUCAAAUAUUCAAUCAAACAGUAUGUUAGUUUAGGUUUGAUUCUUUCAAAUAUUCAAUCAAACAGUAUGUUAGUUUAGGUUUGAUUCUUUCAAAUAUUCAAUCAAACAGUAUGUUAGUUUAGGUUUGAUUCUUUCAAAUAUUCAAUCAAACAGUAUGUUAGUUUAGGUUUGAUUCUUUCAAAUAUUCAAUCAAACAGUAUGUUAGUUUAGGUUUGAUUCUUUCAAAUAUUCAAUCAAACAGUAUGUUAGUUUAGGUUUGAUUCUUUCAAAUAUUCAAUCAAACAGUAUGUUAGUUUAGGUUUGAUUCUUUCAAAUAUUCAAUCAAACAGUAUACUAUGUUAGCUAUAAUUCAAUC